AAAGAGUUUGAUUCUUGCUUUAGUUUCUGUUUUAUAAUUAUAAAAUACAUGAAAGUAUUGGCGUGAAAGAGGAAUAUAAGGUUUAAUAUCUUGUAUUUGAAUUGUAUAUUGAAUCUCAGUAUGAAAUAUUAAAAUUGGGUGGGAGCUUGAUUUGGUAAAUUAUAAAAAAUCUGAUUAAACUUUGUGCCAGCAGUCGCGGUUAGACUUGGGGGUUAAGUAGAAAAUUUUUAGUUAGGGUUACUAAGGUUGGAGGUAAAUUAAGAUUAGUAGUAAUAAAGGGUGGAAUCGAUUUAUUGGGAAGUAAAUUGAGAUUUACUAAAGGAUAGAAGGAGACCUGAAAGGUUAAGGAAUGAACUAGGAUUAGAUACCCUAUUACACUUAAGGGAAAUAUUUAUAAGGCUUGAAUAUUAAAAGUUAUAGGCUUAAAAUUCAAAGAAUUUGGCGGUAUUUUAGUCUAGUUAGAGGAACCUGUUUUAUAAAUGAUACAACACGUAAAAUCUUACUAGUUUUUGUUAAACAGCUUGUAUACCGUCAUUAUUAGAUAACUUUUAUAGAAAAAGUUAUCGAAAGUAUAAAUUUAAGUAUAUUAGAUCAAGGUGCAGCUAAUGAAUUAGUAAAAAUGGGUUACAAUAAGAUUAAUUAUUACGAAUUAGAAUUUGAAUAAAUUUUAUGAAGGGGGAUUUAAUUGUAAUUAUAUUUUAAUAAGUUAUAGUGAUAUAAGUACUAAAUUAUGUACAUAUUGCCCGUCGCUUCCAUUUAAGGUGGAAUAAGUCGUAACAUAGUAGGUAUACUGGAAAGUGUACCUAGAAAUAU
This 813-nucleotide non-coding RNA is filed under the name Paranephrops planifrons. Lineage: Eukaryota; Metazoa; Arthropoda; Malacostraca; Decapoda; Parastacidae. The record is from RNAcentral.